This 5741-nucleotide unclassified non-coding RNA is filed under the name Hevea brasiliensis (rubber tree). The record is from RNAcentral. Lineage: Eukaryota; Viridiplantae; Streptophyta; Magnoliopsida; Malpighiales; Euphorbiaceae.
CGAACCAUUGCUAGUAACCGCUAAAGACGUUCUACAAAAAAAAGGGAUCCUUUCUGCCCGAGUUUACGACUCGUUCUUUCACCGAGCUUUCAGCCCGAAUGCCCAUUUACAAGUCUUAAUUCAAACUCUGCAGUAACGAUUUUGUGCUUAAUUACGUUGAAAUGGGGAGUAUUGAUGGGAUUGUGGAACAGGGAGCGUACGAUGUGGAGGAUACUAUAUUUGUUGCGGUGGGGAAGAAUGUUGAGAAGAGUAAAACGACACUAUUUUGGGCUGUUCAGAGCUUUGCAGGGAAGAAUAUAUGCGUGCUCCAUGUUCAACGGCCUGCGAAUGCUGUUUCAUUGACUGACAGGAAACUUGCUGUGACAAAACCGCAACAAGACACUUUUAGUGCAUUCCAUGAGCUUGAAAAGAAAAAAAUGCUGGAUGUUCUAAAUCAAUACUGUCUCAUUCUUGCCCAAGAAGGGGUUCGAGCAGAUAAAGUAUGGAUUGAGAUGGAUAAUAUUGAGAAAGGGAUUGUUGAGAUUAUUGCUCGGUACAACAUUAGAUGGCUUGUAAUGGGGGCAGCAGCUGAUAAGUACUAUUCAAAGUAUGAAUGCUUAACAAUGUUGCUUAUUGUUCAGUGUCAUCAUGAUGCUGCAUUACUUUUAAGACAUUUGAAUAGGUUCUUGUUGGGGGCCUUCUUCAUCUAGCAUAGCUGAUGUAGAGUUAUCAUAACUCCCUACCAUUUUCAAACCUUAAUAAAGAGUUUGUUGCUAUUGCAGGAAAUUGGAAGGGAUAAAAUCCAAGAAAGCAAUGUUUGUGCACCAACAUGCACCUAUUUCUUGUCAUAUCUGGUUUGUUUGCAAGGGUUGUCUAAUCUAUACAAGGCAUGUUUGACAUCAUAAAAUGUUUUCUUUUCUCAUUUAAUUUGCUUAUAACUGCAGGGGUUCAAGAGCCAUUUUCUUGGAUCAAUUUCUGAGUGUUUUCUUGCAGUUCAUGGUCUAUCAGUAUAUAAUUGUGGAAUUUCCAAUCUUGAAUUGUUGUUCUAUCAGCAUGUUCUGUUCAAUAACAAACAAGUUGGAGGUUGGGGCCACUAUGUUAGUCUAACCACAGUUACAUAGUGGAAAAUUUGCAUUUAAUAUGCAUUAGGGCACCAUUUUUCAUCUGAUUAGCAUUAACUUGGUGUAUGAAUACUAACCAAUUUUCAAGGAUACAUUCCAUGGAGUUUUUAGUUCUUAAAAAAAAAAAGGUAGUUGUCCUUAGUCAUAUGCCUUCUAUAAAAUGUCUGAUAGAAUAAUUUUAAUUUGAGUUAAUAUGAAGUUCAGUUUUGUUUAGGUUGUCUUCCCUGUUGUGCUUUAUUCUAAUUUUUCCAUUAAUUUGAUGCAUCCAUCAAUAUAACUAUCACUGCUGCUUAUUAAAGGAACAAAUGAAAACAGGGAUGGUAGAAAGGACAGAUUGCUGCUGACAAAUUCAGAUUCAGGAAUUGAGCAAUCAGAGCACUUGAGAUUGGGAUCAUAUGAACAAACCCAUAGAUCUCUAGGUAGGUGUACUAACUAACAAGGUUAUUACUUUCAUGGCAAGAUUUGUUAGGUGUGGUUCUUAUAUGGAGAUUGUCAAGGAAUUAUUUUCUUAAAGCAGUGCUAGAUUAAUAACUUUGUCAUAGAGAUGUUGCGCAGAUGCUGAUGACUUCAAAGGAAUAUUAGAAGGAUUCAAUUAUCAGUGUACAGUGAAUUCUAGCCAAUCAAGCAAUAUAGCCCUUAGCACUUCCAAAAUGAUGCCAUUUCUGGCAGAUGAGGUUAGAAAAACUAGUUCUUAUUACCUUAGUUCUCAACUCUCUGAAUGAUCUUUAUUAUUCGUUCUUAUUAUUGUGGCAUAAUGAGGUUUCAGUAUGAUAAACAAAUUUUAUCUCACAUGCUCAUAUUUUUCCUAAGAUGAGACAAGGGAGAAACCCUUUGAACAUUGUAGCAUUAUUGAAAUAUUUGUGCAUCAUUUAGUUAGUUGCAUCACAAAAUUGAUCUCCUAGAGAGAGUUAAGGAGAGAAGUCUCACAGGUUCAGAAUAUAUUUUAUUAUCUGCUCUUUUCUUCAUAGACGUCAUUAGGGCCAGUGGUUGAUAUGUUGCCUUUCCAGUUUAAACUAUUUGAUGAGGCUAUUAUGGCUGUAGCUUUUGCAGGAAGAAAACUCUCAAGGACUAACAACAGAAAAUGCUUCUCAUAUACUAGAACUAGCAAUUCUCGAUGCUAAAGACUCAAAACAAAAGGCAUUUGGAGAGGCAGUGAAGCGAUGGAAAGAGGAAGACGAUGCUAUGGAGGCCAAAUGCAAGGCAAAUAAAUCUUAUGAUAUUCACUUAUUCUCUUUUCUUCUCUCAUUUCUAUUGGGUUGCUGAGGUUAUUAGGAUAUUAAAUUAUUGCCCUAAAGUUUAUUAGAUUUUAUUGCCUGAAAAACUGGAAAUAAUUCCAUGUUGUAACACAAACUUUAGUAAUUAGAAUUAUCCAUACCUCAAUAGAGGCUCAAAUCCAUAACCCCACUCUUCCAGAAUAUCUUUUUUACAUGGACAAAUCCUCUUAUAUCUUUUACACUCUAUUUGUCCCAUAAGAUAUACUAAUUCAACUAUGAGAAGUGUAUACCCUAGAUGUUCAACUUUUUUGGUUAAUUGGGACGCCAGAUGAGAGGCAUGAUUUAGAACAUCUAGAAGGCACAAAGAGGAAAAGAGGAAGACCCAGAAAAACACAUACUGAAACAGUAUAUAUGGACAUGACUUAUGGCAAAUUAAUAGUGUACAUCUCUCGAAGUGGAAUGGAAGGGCACAAAAAGAUUCUGGCAGCCUACCCAAUUUUGUUGGGAUUAAGGUGUGGUUUUGUCAAGUUCUGGAUGGUAGACUUGUGUUCCUCCCAAAUCUAAUGACUAAGAAUACAAAAAAAUGAGAUGCCCUACCAUGAAUUAUUUUUUUCUGUUGUUUCAUAAAUAUGAGAAUCAAUGGUCUGGUUAAGUUAUAUUGCCCUUAACAAAGGUCUGGGAAACUACAUUCUGAGUGGAAUCAAGUGAUGCAAAAAAAGGUGUUUUUGGGCUUGUGCAUGCAUGUAUACCUAUAUCACUAAAUUAACUUCGUUCUGACCACAAACCUUGUUGGCUUGUUAUCCUUUUACAGGCAAAGGCAUUAGAAAACUUGUGCAUCAAGGAGAUGAGCCUAAGAAAAGAGAUGGAGGGAGUAUUGGCAAGAGAAAAGCAAGAAAUUGAAAGGACAAAGAAUCAACGUAAUGAAUUUAUGAAAGAACUCCAGGUGGUACAGGAGCAGAAGUCUGAACUUGAGAGCCAACUUGCAGAGUCCAAUUGUAAUGUGAAGGAUUUGGAGGAGAAAAUCAUUUCAGCUGUGGAACUUUUGAUAAGUUUCAAGGAGAGGAGAGAUGCAGCACGGAAAGAGUAUGAAAGUGCAAUAAGGGAAGUUAAUAGGCUAAAGAAAUUGUCCAAAAUGGAAGCUGGGAGCUUUUGUAGGUCUGAAAUCCUUGAAUUCUCUUUCAUGGAGAUCAAUCAGGCAACUCAGGAAUUCGAUCCUUCCUGGAGGAUUGGAGAGGGAAGAUAUGGAAAUGUCUUCAAAGGGAUCCUUCGCCAUGUUCAUGUUGCCAUCAAGAUGUUACCCUCUUACGGCUCUCAGAGCCAGUUAGAUUUCCAAAAUGGGGUAACACUAUCAUUUUAUAAUAGUAUAAAUCAUCAUAAUACUAUCUUUUUUGUUCAUACACCUCAUAAAUAAUUAAUGGUACCAUUUAUUAUAGUGGAUUUGUGUUGGAGUUAUCUAUAGAAAUUUUGUUCAUUUAAAAAUUCGGUACAUGGUUCUAAUGGGAUGUUCAUGGUGCAUUUGAGGUGGUGCCUUCUCCACUUAUCUGGCAAGCCUCUGGAUUUGUUCUCUCAAAUUCUCCUUUACUACAUAAAUAGGUGCUACUGUUCAGCAAUUUUCUUAAGAUUAACCGAUUCAACUUUUACAACAGACAGAAUGAAAGCAGUUGACCCUAAAAGUAUUUGUUAAGGAAGAAUAAUCAAGAUGUUAAUCUGAGUCCUACCAGGUUAAGGCUUUAUUUAUCAUGCAUCUUGCCAGACUUGUAUGUGUAUUUUGUGUGAGCAAUGAAAUGUGGUAUCAAGUGGUGGAUUUAAAGUAUCCUUUCGAUAUUUUUUGUUCAACUCAUAUUAUUUUUGUUGGUCAAAUUUCAGGUAGAGAUUUUGAGUAGGGUGAGGCAUCCACACCUGAUAACUUUAAUCGGAACUUGCCUGGAGUCUAGGUCACUGGUCUAUGAGUACGUCAGAAAUGGAAGUCUUGAAGAUUGCCUUGAAUGCAAAAAUAAGAGGUUCCCACUUCCAUGGCAAACUCGGAUAUGCAUAGCUACUGAGAUAUGCUCUGCUCUUAUCUUCCUUCAUUCCAACAAGCCUUGUAUCAUACAUGGAAAUUUGAAACCAUCAAAAGUCCUCCUUGAUGCUAACUCUGUCAGCAAAAUCAACGAUUUUGGCAUCUCUUAUUUGAUUUCACGAGGAAAAAUGGGACACACCAUUCCAAUGUAUAAUGACUCUAAAACCAAUUUCACAUCUGUGUAUACUGAUCCACAAUAUCUAGAGACAGGGACGCUUACUCCAGAGUCAGAUAUUUACUCAUUUGGAAUUAUACUUUUGCGACUUUUGACUGGGAGACCAGUUUCAGGAUUGGUGAAAGAUGUAAAAUGUGCAUUAGAAAAAGAGAACGUCAGAGCACUUUUGGAUUGUUCUUCUGGGGACUGGCCAGCUGGGCAAGCUGAACUGCUAGCUAGAUUGGCAUUGAACUGCUGUGAGAAUAAUCGAUUAAAUCGCCCGGACCUUGUGUCAGACAUCUGGAGUGUGCUUGAGCCAUUGAGAGUUUCAUGUAUUGAUUCAGCAUGCUGCAGAAGUUCCAAGGAGCUGCACCGGCGGAUUCCUUCCCAUUUUGUCUGUCCCAUUUUCCAGGUAAUAAUCUCAAACAUGUUUGAAACAUUUUAUAUUAAGCUGGUUCAGCUUUACUAGAGUAGCACAGUCAGGUGGUGGGUUCUGUUGCGCUUCUAUCCCUUCAUGGUUUUCCAGUAAAUAGUCCCAAAAUACAUUUUCGCAAUGGAAAGAAGCAAAUUGUGAAGUGCUCUUGCAUUUUUAAUGUUUUACACUUUGCACUACGAAGUGCUCUGCAUGUGUUUGUAGUGGAAGAAAAAGAGUUUCAAUGGAAGGAAAGUUGCAUUAAUUUGAAGAAUGCUUAGCACAACUUGAUCAUGGAUUGGUGUAUCCUGAACAUAUGCAGAUUUGCUUGCUCAAACCCGUCCCUUCUACCUCUGGUGUCGUGGGCAGGCAACUAGAAUUUAUUUUCAUUAUCAUCAUAUUUCUUAUGAUCAUGGCUACUGUAUUUGGAUUUGCAGGAAGUCAUGAAAGAUCCACAAAUAGCGGCGGAUGGUUUCACAUAUGAUGCUGAGGCUAUUAGAGGAUGGCUGAGAAGUGGCCACAAUACUUCCCCCAUGACAAAUCUUAAACUUGCGCACUGCAGCCUACUCCCUAAUCAUGCUCUUCAUCAGGCAAUUCAAGAGUGGCAGCAACGUUGGUGAAUUUUUAUUAUUAUAUGAGAUGAGAUGUAUGCACAGUUGGGAGCUUUGUACUUUAACCACUGCAGACCUUGAUACCCAUUAAAAUUAAACAUAACAUGAUGUAUAGAGCAACAGCACGCUGUUUUGUACAGAACCACAUAUAUUUGAAAAGUAAUUCCAAUACACAUCUGCUUAUAGUGUUU